RNAcentral lists this ribosomal RNA (174 nucleotides) under Proteocephalus sagittus. Its description in RNAcentral is "partial 5.8S ribosomal RNA". The stretch from base 1 to 144 matches the Rfam family "5.8S ribosomal RNA". From Rfam's summary of the family: 5.8S ribosomal RNA (5.8S rRNA) is a component of the large subunit of the eukaryotic ribosome. Lineage: Eukaryota; Metazoa; Platyhelminthes; Cestoda; Proteocephalidea; Proteocephalidae. The record is from RNAcentral.
CGGUGGAUCACUCGGCUCGUGUGUCGAUGAAGAGCGCAGCCAACUGUGUGAAUUAAUGUGAAUCGCAGACUGCUUUGAACAUCGACAUCUUGAACGCACAUUGCGGCCAUGGGCUUGCCUGUGGCCACGUCUGUCCGAGGGUCGGCUUAUAAACUAUCACUGUGCAUAAUAAGC